RNAcentral lists this ribosomal RNA (497 nucleotides) under uncultured bacterium. Its description in RNAcentral is "partial 16S ribosomal RNA". It matches the Rfam family "Bacterial small subunit ribosomal RNA", at positions 28 to 507 of the family's 1533-position model. The record is from RNAcentral.
GAUGAACGCUGGCGGCGUGCCUAAUACAUGCAAGUCGAGCGAACAGACGAGGAGCUUGCUCCUCUGACGUUAGCGGCGGACGGGUGAGUAACACGUGGAUAACCUACCUAUAAGACUGGGAUAACUUCGGGAAACCGGAGCUAAUACCGGAUAAUAUAUUGAACCGCAUGGUUCAAUAGUGAAAGACGGUUUUGCUGUCACUUAUAGAUGGAUCCGCGCCGCAUUAGCUAGUUGGUAAGGUAACGGCUUACCAAGGCAACGAUGCGUAGCCGACCUGAGAGGGUGAUCGGCCACACUGGAACUGAGACACGGUCCAGACUCCUACGAGAGGCAGCAGUAGGGAAUCUUCCGCAAUGGGCGAAAACCUGACGGAGCAACGCCGCGUGAGUGAUGAAGGUCUUCGGAUCGUAAAACUCUGUUAUUAGGGAAGAACAAAUGUGUAAGUAACUAUGCACGUAUUGACGGUACCUAAUCAGAAAGCCACGGCUAACUACGUG